RNAcentral lists this ribosomal RNA (553 nucleotides) under uncultured bacterium. Its description in RNAcentral is "bacterial SSU rRNA". It matches the Rfam family "Bacterial small subunit ribosomal RNA", at positions 104 to 692 of the family's 1533-position model. The record is from RNAcentral.
GGGUGAGUAACACGUGGGAAUAUGCCUUUCGGUGGGGAAUAACGUCGGGAAACUGACGCUAAUACCGCAUACGCCCUUCGGGGGAAAGAUUUAUCGCCGAAAGAUUAGCCCGCGUCCGAUUAGCUAGUUGGUGAGGUAAUGGCUCACCAAGGCGACGAUCGGUAGCUGGUCUGAGAGGAUGAUCAGCCACACUGGGACUGAGACACGGCCCAGACUCCUACGGGAGGCAGCAGUGGGGAAUAUUGGACAAUGGGCGAAAGCCUGAUCCAGCCAUGCCGCGUGAGUGAUGAAGGCCCUAGGGUUGUAAAGCUCUUUCGACGGGGACGAUGAUGACGGUACCCGUAGAAGAAGCCCCGGCUAACUUCGUGCCAGCAGCCGCGGUAAUACGAAGGGGGCUAGCGUUGUUCGGAAUUACUGGGCGUAAAGCGCACGCAGGCGGUCUAGAUAGUCAGAAGUGAAAGCCCUGGGCUCAACCCGGGAAUUGCUUUUGAUACUGCUAGGCUAGACUCACGGAGAGGGUAGGGGAAUUCCGAGUGUAGAGGUGAAAUUCGUA